This is a long non-coding RNA of Ctenocephalides felis (cat flea), 827 nucleotides long. RefSeq lists it as uncharacterized. The record is from RefSeq and is a predicted model, not a curated record. The transcript is spliced from 3 exons. NCBI's taxonomy places the organism in Eukaryota, Metazoa, Arthropoda, Insecta, Siphonaptera, Pulicidae.
AUUAUUUUGUAUCCAGAGCUUGUGGUGACAACACUUAUAACAUGGAUUGUAGAAUUUUCGCGUGGUAGUCAAAGGAAUACCAUGUGACCCCCGGCAUCGCCUGGAAGCAUGGUGGACUGGUCAGCCUGAUGCAGAUGGGACGACAUAAAUAUGCACUAUAACGGAAUUAUUCACUAAUGGGUUACAUAUUUUUUCGGAUCAUGUAAUUGUCUAAACGCCUUAACGCAUAUUUAUGUAUUUUAUUAUACACAAAAUAUAACUUAUCUUACAAAUAAGUAGAACAUUAACGAGAGUUGGUAAUCAUGAAAAAUACAAAGCAAGCAUUUUCAAUAUUCUCAAAAAUUUCAUGAACUAUCAAAAAGAUUUGUGAACUCUUGCAUGUAAAAAUGCAUUCCCAAGUGAUAAAACUAGUUCAUGAAUUACACUUACAUUGAACAAAUAAUUUUAUUAAUUAAAAUUUUUCUAUCAAGUUUAAUAAAAAAAAAUGGUUAAAAUGCCUAAAUAAAGAAAAAUAUGCUCUUGUAUAUGAAAUGUAACAAAUGUAAUAUCACUAAGUUUCAAUCAACAAAAUAGUCGUAGUGAGACAUGCUUACAACAAUAACUGUAUUAUAUUGUAUAAACAUGAAGAAAGAUUUAAAAAGGUUAAAAUUAAUUGAUUAAUAUUAAGAUUGACUAUAUACAAAAUUAAAAUAUUUCUAAAAUCGAGGUAGCAUUGAGUACCUGGGAGGUGUCUUCACAUCACUCGAAAUAAACGUUUCCAAUAACAAUGUAAAUUAGACUAUAUAAAAUACACCGAUAUGUUACUAAACAAUAUUUAUAUUCAUGAA